AUUGAACGCUGGCGGAAUGCUUUACACAUGCAAGUCGAGCGGCAGCGCGGCCUUCGGGCUGGCGGCGAGCGGCGAACGGGUGAGUAAUGCACCGGAACAUGCCCAGUCGUGGGGGAUAACACUUCGAAAGAAGUGCUAAUACCGCAUACGUCCUGAGGGGGAAAGCGGGGGAUCGCAAGACCUCGCGCGAUUGGAGUGGCCGAUGUCAGAUUAGCUAGUUGGUGGGGUAAAGGCCUACCAAGGCGACGAUCUGUAGCUGGUCUGAGAGGAUGAUCAGCCACACUGGGACUGAGACACGGCCCAGACUCCUACGGGAGGCAGCAGUGGGGAAUUUUGGACAAUGGGGGCAACCCUGAUCCAGCCAUUCCGCGUGAGUGAAGAAGGCCUUCGGGUUGUAAAGCUCUUUCGGCAGGAACGAAACGGUGGGCUCUAACAUAGUCCGCUAAUGACGGUACCUGAAGAAGAAGCACCGGCUAACUACGUG
RNAcentral lists this ribosomal RNA (484 nucleotides) under uncultured bacterium. Its description in RNAcentral is "partial 16S ribosomal RNA". It matches the Rfam family "Bacterial small subunit ribosomal RNA", at positions 29 to 507 of the family's 1533-position model. The record is from RNAcentral.